Molecule: long non-coding RNA, 2072 nt
Filed under: Danio rerio (zebrafish)
Lineage: Eukaryota; Metazoa; Chordata; Actinopteri; Cypriniformes; Danionidae
Description: lncRNA si:dkey-146c18.6 (ENSDARG00000101682.3)
Source: RNAcentral
AGGUGGCGCCGCUUCAGCGCUUUGAUUCAACUGGAGAAAGGAUAAAGUGUCCAAACACAGAGAAAAACUCCUGCUGAAGUGACUGAUCUCCACACUGUUAUUAAGAUGGCGUUCAUUAAAGAGGAGAGUGAAGAUGUGAAGAUUGAAGAAACAUUCACAGUCAAACAGGAAGAUCUGCAGGAACAAACAGACCUAAUUGGAGAGAAGGAGGGGAGUAAAGAGGAGGAACAUCAUGUUAAAAUUGAGGACAAAACUCAUUUACAGACUGAUGGUAUUUUGAAAAGGAGAGACGGGAAUCGUUUCACUUGCACUCAGUGUGGAAAGAUUUUGGGAAGCAAAAGCAAACUUAAGAUUCACAUGAGCAUCCACACAGGAGAGAAACCAUUUACAUGCACUCAGUGUGGGAAGAGUUUCAGCAAAUCAUCAUCCCUUAAUCAACACAUGAGGAUCCACACUGGAGAGAAACCAUUCACAUGCACUCUGUGUGGGAAGAGUUUUAGCUUAUCAUCAUCCCUUAAUCUACACAUGAGGAUCCACACUGGAGAAAAACCAUUUACAUGCACUCGGUGUGGGAAGAGUUUCAACUGCUCAUCAAACCUUAGUAAACACAUGAUGAUCCACACUGGAGAAAAACCAUUCACGUGCACUCAGUGUGAGAAGAGUUUUAGGAUAUCAUCAUCCCUUAAUCUACACAUGAGGAGCCACACUGGAGAGAAACCAUUCACAUGCACUCAGUGUGGGAAGAGUUUCAGCCAAUCAUCAUCUCUUAAUAAGCACAUGAGGAUCCACACUGGAGAGAAACCAUUCACAUGCACUCAGUGUGGGAAGAGUUUCAACCGAUCAGAACACCUUAAUCUACACAUGAGGAUCCAUACCGGAGAGAAAUCAUUCACUUGCACUGAGUGUGAGAAGAGUUUUACCUGCUCAUCAAACCUUAAUCUACACAUGAGGAAACACACUGGAGAGAAACCAUACGCAUGCACUCAGUGUGGGAAGAUUUUCAGCCAAUCAUCAUGCCUUAAUCUACACAUGGUAAGCCACAACGGAGAGAAACCAUGACCUACGAAACUCUGACGGACUCUGACCUGCGAAAUCGCAUCACUUGACUGUGUGAGACCAAUCGAAGAUCAAAACAUGACCUCUCUGGACCGAAAUUUAAAAAAAUGUACCAAUCGCUCACUUUUUAAAAUGUCUAAUCAUCUUGUUUGUUCCCGCUCCUUUUCGCAACGCCGUACAACAGAAUUUUGCAUGCUCAAACUCUAUUGUGACCGCAGCUUCGGUGUGGGAUGAGUUUCAGCACAUCCUCAGACCUUAAUAAACGCAUGAAGACCCACACUGGGAAGAAACCAUUGACAUUCACUCAGUGUAAGAAGAGUUUUAACCGAUCAGCAAACCUUAAUGAACACAUGAAGAUCCACACUGGUGUGAAAGAGUAUAUGUGUUUUGAAUGUGAGAAGACUUUUAUUACAAAAUUGAAACUGCACCAGAUGUUUUACACUUGAGAGACCAUACAAGUGUUCACACUGUGACAAGAGGUUUAAUCAGUGAACACUUCUGAAUCACACAAAAGAGGAUUCACACUGGAGAGAAACUGUACAUCUGAAAUCUGAUGUGUCUACAGAAUUGGACAAAAAGUUGCACACAUUACAUGAAUGCAGCAAAACAUUUUCUCGUGUAGGGAUGUCCUGAUACAAAAUUUUAACUUCCGAUACGAUACCGAUAUUGCAGCCUUCAGUACGAACCGAUACCGAUAUAUAUCCGAUAUCAGCAAAAAUCAUAAAUACUUUACUUUUUUAAUUUUAUAAAAUAUCUUAAUUGAAUAAACAAAAAUACAUUUUUAAAGUGCAAAAUGCUAAUUAAAGGUCAUUUCAGUUAUACAUUUUUUUUAAUCAUAAAAUCGUAGAAACAGCUGAGAGCAGGAACAUAUGAAAAAAAUAUUGUUAAUUGAACAACUGCUAAAGGUUCAGUGUCCAAAGUUUCGAUUUCAAACACAGCUUUUUGGUGAAUUUUUGUUCCAGUUGAGCUGCAAAAUAUCUUUCAAGCUGGGCUCCAGAAAUAAGUUAUUGUUAAUU